Molecule: non-coding RNA, 27 nt
Filed under: Mus musculus (house mouse)
Lineage: Eukaryota; Metazoa; Chordata; Mammalia; Rodentia; Muridae
Source: RNAcentral
CUGAAACUCAGGAGAGAGCUAGACUUC